CCUACGGGGGGCUGCAGUGGGGAAUAUUGCACAAUGGGGGAAACCCUGAUGCAGCAACGCCGCGUGAGCGAUGAAGGCCUUCGGGUCGUAAAGCUCUGUCCUAAGGGAAGAAUAGUGACGGUACCUGAGGAGGAAGCCCCGGCUAACUACGUGCCAGCAGCCGCGGUAAUACGUAGGGGGCUAGCGGUAUCCGGAAUUACUGGGCGUAAAGGGUGCGUAGGCGGCCCUUCAAGUCAGAGGUGAAAGGCUACGGCUCAAACGUAGUAAGCCUAUGAAACUGUAGGUGUUGAGUGCAGGAGAGGAGAGUGAAAAUCACAGUGUAGCGGUGGAAUGCGUCGAUCUUGGUAGCAUCUCCAGUUGCGAUCGCAGCUGUCUAUCCUGUAACUGACGCUGGGGCACGCAAGCGUGGGGAGCGAACAGGAUGAGAUUCCCCAGUAGUC
RNAcentral lists this ribosomal RNA (440 nucleotides) under uncultured bacterium. Its description in RNAcentral is "bacterial SSU rRNA". It matches the Rfam family "Bacterial small subunit ribosomal RNA", at positions 338 to 795 of the family's 1533-position model. The record is from RNAcentral.